Dioscorea cayenensis subsp. rotundata (Guinea yam) is the source of this 951-nucleotide long non-coding RNA. RefSeq lists it as uncharacterized. The transcript is spliced from 4 exons. The record is from RefSeq and is a predicted model, not a curated record. Lineage: Eukaryota; Viridiplantae; Streptophyta; Magnoliopsida; Dioscoreales; Dioscoreaceae.
CUCUCUCUCUCUCUCUCUCUCCUAUCCUUCUCCCAAGACUCAAGCACAAGUUUCGCUCACCAGCCCUCCCCCUCCACUCCCAUUUCCAAAACCCUCCAAACAAUCUCCAUCUCCGCCGCCGCCACCGCCCUCCUCCUUGCCCGUCCUCACCGUCCCCCUUUUUCUUCCCUCCCAGCCACCAUUAUCCAGUCCGAACCCCAGCCUCAGACCCACUCUCCCUGCUUCUAUCCCACUUCCUCUUCUAUAAUGGGGAUGUUGAGGUCGCGAAGGAGGGAUUCGAGGGCGUCCUCUCUACUGAUCCCUUUGUCGUCGAGGCGUACCAUGGGUUGGUAAUGGCCUCGUCCGAGAACGAAGAUGAGCUUGAUGGCAUUUUGAAUAUGAGUUGAGGAGAUGAUGGAGAAGUGCAAGAAGGAGAAUAGGAAAAUGGAGCUGAGGGAUUUCAAGCUGCUGAAGGCUCAGGUGAAGGUAAUACAGGGUGCUAUGAAGAGGCGCUGGAGAUAUAUAAGGGCUUGGUGAAGGAGGAGCCUAGAUAUCACACCUUGGUGUCUCCGAUGUCCCACAAUCAUCACCACCGUCGCCAUUCCCAGGAUUUCAGAUCUGCUCACGAAGGACUAUAAUUUUGAUCACAAGUUGACAAUCUGGACACAGAGCGCUUCUGUAGUGGCAAAAGUGGAGAUCAUUGUGACUGAAUGUGAGCAGGGGGCUUCUGUGUUGUCUUUGGUGAAUGAAAUUGGGGCUUUUACUCUUGUUGUAGGACUCCAUGAACAUAACUUCCCCUAAAGCUUGUCACAUCGUGAAGAACUAUAUUGCUCAUCUUCUUGACAUCAAGAUUCCAUUGAUAUUGGGCAAUUCAUGAUGUUAUUUUAAUAGUUAAAUACAUGACUGGCCAUCUAUCUUGAUUUUGACUUUCUCAAUCUGAGAAGCAUAAUUUUAAAAUGGCUUUCGCUUCUA